RNAcentral lists this ribosomal RNA (1450 nucleotides) under uncultured organism. RNAcentral describes it as "SSU rRNA". It matches the Rfam family "Bacterial small subunit ribosomal RNA". The record is from RNAcentral.
GAACGCUAGCUACAGGCUUAACACAUGCAAGUCGAGGGGCAGCAUGGUCUUAGCUUGCUAAGGCCGAUGGCGACCGGCGCACGGGUGAGUAACACGUAUCCAACCUGCCGUCUACUCUUGGACAGCCUUCUGAAAGGAAGAUUAAUACAAGAUGGCAUCAUGAGUCCGCAUGUUCACAUGAUUAAAGGUAUUCCGGUAGACGAUGGGGAUGCGUUCCAUUAGAUAGUAGGCGGGGUAACGGCCCACCUAGUCUUCGAUGGAUAGGGGUUCUGAGAGGAAGGUCCCCCACAUUGGAACUGAGACACGGUCCAAACUCCUACGGGAGGCAGCAGUGAGGAAUAUUGGUCAAUGGGCGAGAGCCCGAACCAGCCAAGUAGCGUGAAGGAUGACUGCCCUAUGGGUUGUAAACUUCUUUUAUAAAGGAAUAAAGUCGGGUAUGCAUACCCGUUUGCAUGUACUUUAUGAAUAAGGAUCGGCUAACUCCGUGCCAGCAGCCGCGGUAAUACGGAGGAUCCGAGCGUUAUCCGGAUUUAUUGGGUUUAAAGGGAGCGUAGAUGGAUGUUUAAGUCAGUUGUGAAAGUUUGCGGCUCAACCGUAAAAUUGCAGUUGAUACUGGAUAUCUUGAGUGCAGUUGAGGCAGGCGGAAUUCGUGGUGUAGCGGUGAAAUGCUUAGAUAUCACGAAGAACUCCGAUUGCGAAGGCAGCCUGCUAAGCUGCAACUGACAUUGAGGCUCGAAAGUGUGGGUAUCAAACAGGAUUAGAUACCCUGGUAGUCCACACGGUAAACGAUGAAUACUCGCUGUUUGCGAUAUACAGCAAGCGGCCAAGCGAAAGCGUUAAGUAUUCCACCUGGGGAGUACGCCGGCAACGGUGAAACUCAAAGGAAUUGACGGGGGCCCGCACAAGCGGAGGAACAUGUGGUUUAAUUCGAUGAUACGCGAGGAACCUUACCCGGGCUUAAAUUGCAGAUGAAUUACGGUGAAAGCCGUAAGCCGCAAGGCAUCUGUGAAGGUGCUGCAUGGUUGUCGUCAGCUCGUGCCGCGAGGUGUCGGCUUAAGUGCCAUAACGAGCGCAACCCUUGUUGUCAGUUACUAACAGGUUCCGCUGAGGACUCUGACAAGACUGCCAUCGUAAGAUGUGAGGAAGGUGGGGAUGACGUCAAAUCAGCACGGCCCUUACGUCCGGGGCUACACACGUGUUACAAUGGGGGGGUACAGAGGGCCGCUACCACGCGAGUGGAUGCCAAUCCCAAAAACCUCUCUCAGUUCGGACUAGAGUCUGCAACCCGACUCCACGAAGCUGGAUUCGCUAGUAAUCGCGCAUCAGCCACGGCGCGGUGAAUACGUUCCCGGGCCUUGUACACACCGCCCGUCAAGCCAUGGGAGCCGGGGGUACCUGAAGUGCGUAACCGCGAGGAGCGCCCUAGGGUAAAACUGGUGACUGGGGCUAA